RNAcentral lists this long non-coding RNA (3507 nucleotides) under Nicotiana tabacum (common tobacco). RNAcentral's name for it is "long non-coding RNA (NTAB_LNC014842)". The record is from RNAcentral. Lineage: Eukaryota; Viridiplantae; Streptophyta; Magnoliopsida; Solanales; Solanaceae.
UUUAGCCCAAGACCCUUUCUCAUUAAUUUCACAUUGGGCCAGCCUUUAACCCGCGACCCGUCUGCCCAAACCCGCCCCACUUGCCCAAAUAUACGAUGCAAAUAAUACACCCAACCCUAAAUCUAAUCCCAAACGGCUCCAGCACUAUUCAUUGUCUUCUUCACCAAAAUCAUUCCCAAACUCGCCAAAAUACAGGCGAGUGUACCCAAACUCGCCAAAAUACAGGCGAGUACACCCAAACUCACAUCACGUGCUCCCUCCUUCUCUCCUCUUGCCACAUAGUGUAACAGUCUCUGACAAUAAGAAGAUUCCUUCCAGAUAUUUGUGCGUCUUUAGCCUCUCGAUCGAUUUGCUAGAUGAAUUGAGGUUGUGGAUGGAUGAAAAUCAAUCCUUUCCCUCUAUUUGUCCCUAAAAUCGUUCACGGAAAGGGAUUGAAAAGGAAUUUCGAAUUUUGUUUUGGGGAGAAGGUUCGAGAAAUCUGAGGGUCUAUAUAAGGUGAGGAUUUUCCUUGUGUGAGGGGGUUCGAGAAAACAGAUUUUCGAAAGGAUUUGAGAGAGAAAAGUUCUAGGGCUAAGGAGAGUUUCAGGAUUUUUUCUUCUAACUUUUUAGUUUAUUUCUUGAGAAAUACAAAAAUUCCUUCAGUGUUUUUUUCUUUGUUUUGAAUAUCAGAAACAUAAAGUAACCGGUCUCUUUUAUUUCAAUUUUCGAAAUUCUGAUUGUUAAAAAUGGAGUUUGAUUGAAGUUUAAAUUUGAGUUUAUGGUUGGGUUCAAAAUUCCGGUGCCGGUUCGAGUGCCGAUCGAGGUCCGUUCGUUGAUUGUUAGGUCCUGUUUCUUGUUGCUGCUUCUCGGUGGAUUUUUAUGCUCGAAGGAAUUUGCAUUUGCUGAUUUUUCAUUGUUAAUUAGAAGAAUUUCUGUUUAGCAGGUUCAUCUCUAUCGUUUCUUCUCUAUUUUGAUUUUAUUAACUUGAACCGAGCCUCAAAAGAGCCAUUUAAGGAAGGGUAGAAUUUUUGUUUGAAUUGCUUCAGUGAGUGAUUGACUUCUAAAAAUUUGCUUAUCUAGAAAUUAUGUGUUCUCAUUUGUUUUUUUAGUUCUCAAUCCAUCAUUAUCAGUGUGUAUUCCGUUUGCAAAUAGUUCUGAGCUUAAAACGAGUUGUUCAGUGAAAUGACAUAUUUCUCUGCUUGUUCAUUGUCCAAAGUGAGAUUCGCGUCCAUGCUUGCUAUUGUUUGGAUCCAUUAGUCAAUGGUUAAAAUUUUGUUGAAGAACCACUUUACUCAUUGUUAGAGUUUAGAACCUUUAAGAUUCAUAAGUGGUUUGCUGAAAUAGCUUUUUGUUAAUAAAGUUAAGUAAGACAGUGAACUUCCAAGAAUUACUCUUUGACUUCAUUUUCCUGAGUAGAUUAGGUCCAUUAAUUUCCUAUCUCGCAGAUCUAGUCCACAUCUGAUGUUAUGGUCGUCAUAUGCAUCAGAAAUGAAGUCAUAGGUAUAUUUGAAUCCCUACUAAGUUCGAGAUGUUAGUCUAGGCAUGCCUCCUUUUCCUGUUAAAGUCCAAGUAUUAGUGAGAUAAUUCAUGAGUAAGUUAACUUUCAUCAAAUAUUUAUGGCCUGAAUAUCAUCGUCUCUGCCAAGUCUUCGCUACUGCUAGAUAUGAAAGUUUUCUGUAUGUUGCACAUGAUUGUCCGACUCCUUGGUUACUUUCUUUGGUAUUAAUCAUUUGAAGUGGAAAUAUUGUAUAUCCCUUGUGCUAACGUAAGCUAUAGUAAUUUGUUUAGUACUUUUAGGUUUGGAGUCAUUUAGUUGUGUGGAGAUUGAAUUAAGCAAUUAUGUUAUCUAGGUGUCAAUAACUAACAGUGAACUAGGAUAAAAAGGUGAAUAAAGGAUCUUUAAAUGGCUCUUCGAUAGCUUUGAUUCACUUUACUUUGCUAUUUCAUCCUACCAUGAUUCAUAUUCCCUUUAAAUGACCAUAAUGUUGUUUUGUAUGGGUAUUUAUUUUGUGCGUUCUGCUGGAUAGUUUAUUCUACUUGUUAGAUUGAUAGAUGUAAAACUAUUCGGAAGACGAUGUUGGGUCGUGAGGGGUGAAAUCACGAAUGAAAUGAUGUUGAACAUGAGCAUGAAAUGUCUUUGUUCAUUUUGGUUAUUUUAUUUUUCUUCCAUACCCGCUGAUAGCAUGCUUAGGCCAUUAAUCUUCAUAUACAUCGUAGUUUGCUUUAGGCACGUAAUUAAAUCACCACAACUAUGGGUACAGUUUCUGUGGCGUAGUUGUGAUACCUAAUUUCAAAUUAGUUUUAAAUAUGAACAUCCGUAGUUCGCUUUAGUCGAAUACAAUUUUUUUUAAAUAAGUUGAGGUGUGCCAUACAAUCACCUAGUUUAUGGCCCUCACAUUGAUAUCUUAGUUAGUGUAGAAAAUGCAUUGGAAUCUCAUAGUUUGCUUCAGGCGCGUUAACUGAAUAAAUUGUCUUAGCUGUAGGUACGUUUCCCAUGACGUGGUUGUGACACUUAAUUUCUAAAAAUAUGUGGGUACAUUUAUGUGACCCGACCACAAUUUAAUCUUGUUAAAAAAUUAAACAUAUUGUGUAUCGUCGGUAUGGUUCCCGUGACACGAUUUGCGACGUGUAAUUAAAUAAAUAGUUGUAAAACAAUUGGAUUAUUAAAAGUGAUUUAAAAGGAAUAAAAUGCACAUAGGUUUCAAAGAUGUUUUAAAAUCAAAUAAAUAGGCCAAUUUUAACAGUUGAGCGAUCGUGCUAAAACCACGGAACCCGGGAAUGCCUAACACCUUCUCCCGGGUUAACAAAAUUCCUUACCUGGAUUUCUAUGUUCACAAACCGUAAAUAGAGUCAAACUUCUUCGAUUUGGGAUUUUAAACCGGUGACUUGGGACACCAAUUAACUAUCCCAAGUUGCGACUCUGAUUUUAAUGUAGAUAAAUCCCGUUUCGAUUGUCACUUAAAUUGGAAAAACUCCCUUAUUCCCCUUUCCGCGGGUAGGAAAAAGUGACACUAGUUAUGUAAUAGAUUGUAUAAACUCUUUCGUACACUUUUACUAUGUUAGAUGCUCGUGAUUGGUGAUACCUCGAUGUCGGUCUGUGUUUGGUUUUCUGCAGUUGAUAGAUUUCACUCAAUUAUGGGAUUUAUAAUUAUUAAUGACUUAAUUAUGAAUUCUUAUCUGCUAACUUAAUUGGGUGUUGUGUCGGCUGGCCUUAUCUUCACGAGAGACGCCAUCACGACUGGGUCUGGGUUUAGGGUCGUGACAAGUUGGUAUCAGAGCCUAGGUUACAUAGGUCUCACGAGUCAUGAGCAGGUUUAGUAGAGUCUCACGGAUCAGUACGAAGAUGUCUGUAUUUAUCCUCGAGAGGCUGCAGAACCUUUAGGAAAAACAUCAUAUUCUUGAAAUUCUUGUCGUGCGAAUCUGUUGAUCAGAGUACUAAACUUCUGUUAUUCUAUUCUCUCAUAGAUGAUGAGGACACGUGCUACCUGUCAGGAUGGACGACCACCAGUACCACCAACUGUGGCCACU